Molecule: ribosomal RNA, 301 nt
Filed under: uncultured bacterium
Lineage: Bacteria
Description: partial 16S ribosomal RNA
Rfam family: Bacterial small subunit ribosomal RNA
Source: RNAcentral
CAGCAGCCGCGGGAAUACGUAGGGUGCGAGCGUUAAUCGGAAUUACUGGGCGUAAAGCGUGCGCAGGCGGUUAUAUAAGACAGAUGUGAAAUCCCCGGGCUCAACCUGGUACCUGCAUUUGUGACUGUAUAGCUAGAGUACGGUAGAGGGGGAUGGAAUUCCGCGUGUAGCAGUGAAAUGCGUAGAUAUGCGGAGGAACACCGAUGGCGAAGGCAAUCCCCUGGACCUGUACUGACGCUCAUGCACGAAAGCGUGGGGAGCAAACAGGAUUAGAUACCCCCGUAGUCCCUGUCUCUUAUAC